This 199-nucleotide ribosomal RNA is filed under the name Torpedo sp. CCMAR 152. Its description in RNAcentral is "partial small subunit ribosomal RNA". Lineage: Eukaryota; Metazoa; Chordata; Chondrichthyes; Torpediniformes; Torpedinidae. The record is from RNAcentral.
GGUAAAUCUCGUGCCAGCCACCGCGGUUAUACGAGUAACACAUACUAAUACUCCACGGCGUAAAGGGUGAUUUAAAAAUUUCUUAGUACUAUUAAAGUUAAAAUUUUAUGUAGCUGUUAUACGCACCCAUAAACAAGAAAUACACUAACGAAGGUGACUUUAUAAAAAUUGAUUUUUUGACCUCACGACAAUUAAAAAC